UCAGGKCAGGCUGUCGUCAGCUCGUGUCGUGAGAUGUUGGGUUAAGUCCCGCAACGAGCGCAACCCCUAUCUUCUGUUACCAGCGAGUUAAGUCGGGGACUCAGGAGAGACUGCCGCAGACAAUGCGGAGGAAGGCGGGGAUGACGUCAAGUCAUCAUGCCCCUUAUGGCUUGGGCUACACACGUACUACAAUGGCUCUUAAUAGAGGGAAGCGAAGGAGCGAUCCGGAGCAAACCCCAAAAACAGAGUCCCAGUUCGGAUUGCAGGCUGCAACCCGCCUGCAUGAAGCAGGAAUCGCUAGUAAUCGCAGGUCAGCAUACUGCGGUGAAUACGUUCCCGGGCCUUGUACACACCGCCCGUCACACCACGAAAGUCAUUCACACCCGAAGCCGGUGAGGUAACCGCAAGGAGCCAGCCGUCGAAGGUGGGGGCGAUGAUUGGGGUGAAGUCGUAACAAGGUAGCCGUAUCGGAAGGUGCGGCUGGAUCACCUCCUUUCUAGGGAA
This 504-nucleotide ribosomal RNA is filed under the name Megasphaera sp. BL7. RNAcentral describes it as "bacterial SSU rRNA". It matches the Rfam family "Bacterial small subunit ribosomal RNA", at positions 1034 to 1533 of the family's 1533-position model. Lineage: Bacteria; Bacillati; Bacillota; Negativicutes; Veillonellales; Veillonellaceae. The record is from RNAcentral.